UUGAACGCUGGCGGCAUGCCUUACACAUGCAAGUCGAACGGCAGCACGGGUGCUUGCACCUGGUGGCGAGUGGCGAACGGGUGAGUAAUACAUCGGAACAUGUCCUGUAGUGGGGGAUAGCCCGGCGAAAGCCGGAUUAAUACCGCAUACGAUCUACGGAUGAAAGCGGGGGACCUUCGGGCCUCGCGCUAUAGGGUUGGCCGAUGGCUGAUUAGCUAGUUGGUGGGGUAAAGGCCUACCAAGGCGACGAUCAGUAGCUGGUCUGAGAGGACGACCAGCCACACUGGGACUGAGACACGGCCCAGACUCCUACGGGAGGCAGCAGUGGGGAAUUUUGGACAAUGGGCGAAAGCCUGAUCCAGCAAUGCCGCGUGUGUGAAGAAGGCCUUCGGGUUGUAAAGCACUUUUGUCCGGAAAGAAAUCCUUGGCUCUAAUACAGUCGGGGGAUGACGGUACCGGAAGAAUAAGCACCGGCUAACUACGUGCCAGCAGCCGCGGUAAUACGUAGGGUGCGAGCGUUAAUCGGAAUUACUGGGCGUAAAGCGUGCGCAGGCGGUUUGCUAAGACCGAUGUGAAAUCCCCGGGCUCAACCUGGGAACUGCAUUGGUGACUGGCAGGCUAGAGUAUGGCAGAGGGGGGUAGAAUUCCACGUGUAGCAGUGAAAUGCGUAGAGAUGUGGAGGAAUACCGAUGGCGAAGGCAGCCCCCUGGGCCAAUACUGACGCUCAUGCACGAAAGCGUGGGGGAGCAAACAGGAUUAGAUACCCUGGUAGUCCACGCCCUAAACGAUGUCAACUAGUUGUUGGGGAUUCAUUUCCUUAGUAACGUAGCUAACGCGUGAAGUUGACCGCCUGGGGAGUACGGUCGCAAGAUUAAAACUCAAAGGAAUUGACGGGGACCCGCACAAGCGGUGGAUGAUGUGGAUUAAUUCGAUGCAACGCGAAAAACCUUACCUACCCUUGACAUGGUCGGAAUCCCGCUGAGAGGUGGGAGUGCUCGAAAGAGAACCGGCGCACAGGUGCUGCAUGGCUGUCGUCAGCUCGUGUCGUGAGAUGUUGGGUUAAGUCCCGCAACGAGCGCAACCCUUGUCCUUAGUUGCUACGCAAGAGCACUCUAAGGAGACUGCCGGUGACAAACCGGAGGAAGGUGGGGAUGACGUCAAGUCCUCAUGGCCCUUAUGGGUAGGGCUUCACACGUCAUACAAUGGUCGGAACAGAGGGUUGCCAACCCGCGAGGGGGAGCUAAUCCCAGAAAACCGAUCGUAGUCCGGAUUGCACUCUGCAACUCGAGUGCAUGAAGCUGGAAUCGCUAGUAAUCGCGGAUCACGCAUGCCGCGGUGAAUACGUUCCCGGGUCUUGUACUCACCGCC
RNAcentral lists this ribosomal RNA (1368 nucleotides) under uncultured beta proteobacterium. RNAcentral describes it as "bacterial SSU rRNA". It matches the Rfam family "Bacterial small subunit ribosomal RNA", at positions 29 to 1394 of the family's 1533-position model. Lineage: Bacteria; Pseudomonadati; Pseudomonadota; Betaproteobacteria. The record is from RNAcentral.